CAUUCGUUAUGCUUUGAAUGAAAAACCCUUUAAUCCAGAUCUGGUUGCCAACUUAAUCCAGCUUAGGAAAGCAUCAUUGUUGGAGGACUCCCGGGUUGCUGAAAUCUUGAAUGACAUUUCAAGGCGGAUUGUCAAGGAAAAGGUCCUGUAGUCAUGGAAAUGGCUGGGUAUACUGAAAAAGGAUUUAAGAGAAAGCUUGCUGUGCAGACCCUUUCGGCAAGGUGUAUUAUUUGUCUGAGCUGCCAGAGUUCUGUUCGAGGGAUAGCUCCUUGGUUGUCAAGGAGAUAUUUGGGGCUACAGAUGAAGAUGCUGACAAACUUCGGCUGCACACUCUUUCUGAAGCUGGUGAUAUGGGUUCACUUGAGAAGAUGGUUGA
Ricinus communis (castor bean) is the source of this 376-nucleotide long non-coding RNA. RefSeq lists it as uncharacterized. Lineage: Eukaryota; Viridiplantae; Streptophyta; Magnoliopsida; Malpighiales; Euphorbiaceae. The record is from RefSeq and is a predicted model, not a curated record. The transcript has 4 exons.